UUUCCGUAGGUGAACCUGCGGAAGGAUCAUUCAUAAUAAAGUGUUUUAUGGCACUUUUUAAAAAUCCAUAUCCACCUUGUGUGCAAUGUUAGAUCUCGUCAAUCUUGGCGAGGUUUUUAUACUUCAACUCAUUCUUUAACUAAUUUGUCUGAAAAAUAUUAUGAAUACUUAAUUCAAAAUACAACUUUCAACAACGGAUCUCUUGGCUCUU
Molecule: unclassified non-coding RNA, 211 nt
Filed under: plant metagenome
Description: partial contains small subunit ribosomal RNA, internal transcribed spacer 1, and 5.8S ribosomal RNA
Source: RNAcentral